Molecule: ribosomal RNA, 500 nt
Filed under: uncultured bacterium
Lineage: Bacteria
Description: bacterial SSU rRNA
Rfam family: Bacterial small subunit ribosomal RNA
Source: RNAcentral
CAGGAUGAACGCUAGCGACAGGCUUAACACAUGCAAGUCGAGGGGUAACAGGGUAGCAAUACCGCUGACGACCGGCGCACGGGUGAGUAACGCGUAUGCAACCUGCCUAUAACUGGGGAAUAGCUCCCUGAAAGGGGAAUUAACACCGCAUAACACUAUUGAUUCGCAUGGAUUAGUAGUUAAAUGUAGCGAUACAGGUUAUAGAUGGGCAUGCGUGACAUUAGCUAGUUGGUGAGGUAACGGCUCACCAAGGCUACGAUGUCUAGGGGUUCUGAGAGGAAGGUCCCCCACACUGGUACUGAGACACGGACCAGACUCCUACGGGAGGCAGCAGUGAGGAAUAUUGGUCAAUGGGCGCAAGCCUGAACCAGCCAUGUCGCGUGCAGGAAGACUGCCCUAUGGGUUGUAAACUGCUUUUAUAGUAGAAGAAACACAUCUACGCGUAGAUGUCUGCCAGUAUACUAUGAAUAAGCAUCGGCUAACUCCGUGCCAGCCGCAGC